AAUUAUACCCUUUUUAAAAGAGUAAGUGUAGGUAAAAGUGUAAAACCCACCUUUUAUUUUUCCCUAAUCACAAUAUCUUGAAAGAAAUAAAAUCUCAAUCUCAAUUCUCAAUCAUAUAAAUGAUAUAAGAGAGGUCACCCACCAAACUCCCUUCCCCCAUUCUCCAAACCAAACUACCUUCAAUUUCUUCCAUCCCUAUAGAUAUCUGGUUCGAGGCGCACAUUUUCUUGGAACCCAAAGCCAUUAAAGAGCACGGCAGGAAAACGCGUGGUGUACAGGUUGGCUCUCUUGCUCGCUCUCCCCUGUUUUCUUGAUUUCCCAUCUCUGUGCGUGUGGGCAUGUGGUCCUCUUUGACAAAAGUUGUUGAAUUGGAGGAGUGUAAGACUGGGUAAUUCUGGGUUGAAGUCAUACUGUGAAGGAAAAGUAUAAAGGUGAGGACUUUGAAGGUUGGAAAAAGAUGAGGAUGGUGAGUGCCAUUGAUUGUUCGGAGUGCCCGGGUCUGUGUGGAUUCUUAGUUGUUGAAGCUUAUCCAAAGGGGUACUCUUCCAAGAUCCCCUCUGAUUUGGUCCUUUUCCUGGGGCUUGGCUUCAUAGAUUGGUAAUAUCCUGUGUUGCUCUUAUAGUCUUAUACCUAUAUCUAUAUUUAUUAUCUUAGAUAUACACCCAAAAAAUAUUUAGAGAUCUAGAUAUAUUUGUUUUUAUUAUUGGAGUUACUUA
Ipomoea nil (Japanese morning glory) is the source of this 716-nucleotide long non-coding RNA. RefSeq lists it as uncharacterized. The record is from RefSeq and is a predicted model, not a curated record. The transcript has 3 exons. NCBI's taxonomy places the organism in Eukaryota, Viridiplantae, Streptophyta, Magnoliopsida, Solanales, Convolvulaceae.